AUCUCGAAUACACAGAGCAGUGUCGCUUCUCUCCCUCACACAGCCUCAUGCAAACAGGGCCUAGGGUUUCCUGUUUGAUAAUAAAAUACUGGAGGGCAUGGUGAAUUUGCAUUAUUCAUGACACUGGUCCAUGAUUCAGAUUCACCAUGCCCAUUGCAUUGGGAAAGGUUGCCUACUGUUCCUCCUUUCUUCUUUGGCCAUUCAUUCAGAGCCUAUAUGUGGCACCAUUGCCCAUGGGUCUGCAUGGGAGUUGCAACCCAGUUUGUGUCCUUAGUUUCUGGGAAGAAGAAGGGAUCGAUUUGGUCCUUCUUCAACCUCCAUGUCUUGCUCUUGGUGAGGUUGGCAGAAAAGUGGGGUCAUUGGCCUUGAAUAAUGUAAUGAUUGUUCCUUUGUUUAAUUGGCAGGAGUGAAAUGGUUUUUGUGUUGCAAUGUUCUAGUCCGUAACCCCCACAAACAUUAGAGGAAAAAAAGGAAAAAAUUGUUUAGUGUUUACCUUUGAAUUUAUGUGGCUGAUUUCUGUCUCUUUUUGUGAUCAGAGUUCAUCUUGUUCUUCUCUCUGCCGUUUUUCUCCAGUAUUACUGCCCUUUGUUCCUCCUAGUCAAAAUUUCUCUUUAAUGGCAGGAACUCCUUCAGCACUGGCCUCUUAGAUUCUUCAGAUUCCAUAUUUCACUACUCUUCUCAUCUUCCUUUUUGAAAACCUCAACAGUUGGAACCAAGAAAACAAGAAAAUAAAGUAAAUAAACAAUUACCAAUUGAUCAGAAUCAUUAAAAGUAAAAACUUCAAAGAGCCCCCUAGAAGAUAGCCUACCAUACUUGAGAAUCAAUGUGCAAUAAGGAUUUGUUUUUGUAGUCAUUCAUCUUGACCAUCUCUUGCUCUAACUUCUCAAGAGUCAAGAUCAUCAUUCAGUGCCUCCAAUCUCUCAGAAACACCCUUAGUUUUAGAAAGGUAAUCCAAAGAUCGGUGUUGUUGUUGGGGAUGUAAGUCUAUUUUUGGCACCCAAACUCAAUUCCAGAGAGCUUGAAGAUUAUUGGAUCUCUGUGUGGUGAAAUCUGAGUACAAGAGGAAACAGGAGGGGUGGUUUUGAGUUAUGAAAAAAGAGAGAAGAAGGUGAGAAUUGGGAUUAGGGCAUUGAAAAAUCCCUAGAGAAGGCUUUGGUGACAUCAGAGAUUCUCCGUGUGAAGUUCUUUCAGGUUUUGAUAGCCACAUAUCCUUGCUCAGGUUGUCGCAUAUCUGCUGUUCUCUAGGAACUUGAAAAUGUGGGGUGAACUUCUAUGGAAUGAUGUCCCAGAAAUUCAAGAAGGGUUGGAUAUGUAUUCAGUCAAACAAUUUGGAUCAAAUUGAGCACCGAAUCAAACCUGAAACAGAUCAAAGAAAAUUGUUCAUGUGAUGUUGGGUUGCUGAGAAGAUGGGAAAGCCCAAGAAUCUGAAAUUUUGCUCAGUUCCAACUCUUUGAGGUUAUGAAACAAGAAGGCGAGAGGAUGAAACAAAGUAUGAAAUCUGAAGAAUCUAAGGAUUCCGAACUGAAGGAAUUCUUGCCAUUAAACAGAAGCUUUGAUGAGGAAGAACAAAAGACAGUAAUCCUGGAGAAAGGAUGGCAGGGAAGGGAAGAAUUAGGUGAAAUAUGGCCAUGGAAAGAAGCACAAAUCAGCCAUUGAAAUUCCAAAGGCAAACCCUCAACUAUAAUUUUCCUUUUUCUCUUGUGUUUUGAAGGUUAAUAGAAUUUUGCAGUUAAAAAAUCCUUUUAUGCCUCUAAUUUUAGAGCCUGGUUUGUGGUUGGGUUCCUUGUCACUCAGACCAUGCAACUUACCAAAGAGAUCAAAUAACAGAUUACCAAUUUGGAAAUAUUUCAUUUUUUU
Molecule: long non-coding RNA, 1857 nt
Organism: Vitis riparia (riverbank grape)
Lineage: Eukaryota; Viridiplantae; Streptophyta; Magnoliopsida; Vitales; Vitaceae
Exons: 4
Source: RefSeq, a predicted model, not a curated record